AUGGCCCAGGAGGCCAAUUGCGACGGCGAGCCUGCGAUGGAGUCGGCCGCCCUCGUCCCCGGGCCGCCGGCUGCCACCCCGCCCCCCUGGACGGACGAGGGGUCUCUCCAGUUGCUGGAGAUCCUGCGCCUCCAUCUCCGGGGUGUCCCGCACUGGAUCAUCCCCCGCUACGUCAUCACCGGGGUGGACCUCUACGAUCGGGAGCCCCAAGAGCUCCUCCGCGCCCACCCCUCCGCCGCCUCGACCGACGGCAAGAAGGCGCUCUACUUCCUCAACCGCGUCCGGGCCAAGGCCAAGAACGAUGGCUGGAAAUGCCGUAUGGCUUCCGGCGGCACAUGGAAGUCCGAGCGUGCGCCGGUGGACAUAUGGGGCGCCUCCCGCAUCGCCGGCACCCACCAGAACCUGUCCUUCAUCAUCAAGGGACCCAAGGGAGAGGACCUGCGCUCCGGCUACAUCGCCCAGGAGUUUGCGCUCGCCGGCCACGCUGGUCGCCUCGCCGGCGGCGACCAGCUCGUGCUGACCAAGGUGUACUUCACCCCGCGGGGAGAAGAGGCCGUCUCCAAGGCCAAGGAACGCGUGAUGGCCAAGGCAAAGCGCAAGAAGACGGCCGCCGCCGCCUCCUCCUCCCGGGCGCCUCUUCCGCCCGCAGCCGCCUCCUCCCCUGCUCCCGGCAAGACGCCGGCUCCCAUUGCCGCCUCCUCGCCGGCUCCCCCCAAGAAGGCGGAUGCCCCUUCGUCCUCAUCGCCGGCGCUCAUCGACCAGGCAGUCUCCGACUCGUCCGCGGGAGGAUCCACCUCAUCCACAAGGUUGCUGCUGUUGGAGGUGGGUGACUCCCCAGUAAGCCAAGCCCAGGACUUCUCGAUCCGGCACAUCCUCAGGGCAGCGGAGCUGGUAGGCUCCUCGCUGCCCUUGAACAAAAGGAAGCCUGUCCCAUUUAGUUGUGAUGGCUUGUUCUUGCUCCAGGAAGGGCCCAGGAAGAAGUUUCCAUCAUCUCCAUAG
RNAcentral lists this ribosomal RNA (999 nucleotides) under Triticum aestivum (bread wheat). RNAcentral describes it as "partial small subunit ribosomal RNA". The record is from RNAcentral. Lineage: Eukaryota; Viridiplantae; Streptophyta; Magnoliopsida; Poales; Poaceae.